GAUGAACGCUAGCGACAGGCCUAACACAUGCAAGUCGAGGGGCAGCGGGGAGCGAAGCUUGCUUUGCUCCGCCGGCGACCGGCGCACGGGUGAGUAACGCGUAUGCAACCUGCCCGUUUCAGCGGGAUAACCCGGAGAAAUCCGGCCUAAUACCGCAUGUGGCCGAGGGAAGGCAUCUUCUUUCGGCCAAAGGAGGCGACUCCGGAGACGGAUGGGCAUGCGUGACAGUAGCUUGUUGGCGGGGUAACGGCCCACCAAGGCGACGAUGUCUAGGGGUUCUGAGAGGAAGGUCCCCCACACUGGUACUGAGACACGGACCAG
RNAcentral lists this ribosomal RNA (321 nucleotides) under uncultured bacterium. RNAcentral describes it as "bacterial SSU rRNA". It matches the Rfam family "Bacterial small subunit ribosomal RNA", at positions 28 to 334 of the family's 1533-position model. The record is from RNAcentral.